UUAAGCGACUAAGCGUACACGGUGGAUGCCCUGGCAGUCAGAGGCGAUGAAGGACGUGCUAAUCUGCGAAAAGCGUCGGUAAGGUGAUAUGAACCGUUAUAACCGGCGAUGUCCGAAUGGGGAAACCCAGUGCAAUUCGUUGCACUAUCGUUAACUGAAUACAUAGGUUAACGAGGCGAACCGGGGGAACUGAAACAUCUAAGUACCCCGAGGAAAAGAAAUCAACCGAGAUUCCCCCAGUAGCGGCGAGCGAACGGGGAGCAGCCCAGAGUCUGAAUCAGCUUGUGUGUUAGUGGAACGGUCUGGAAAGUCCGACGGUACAGGGUGAUAGUCCCGUACACCAAAAUGCACAGGCUGUGAACUCGAAGAGUAGGGCGGGACACGUGGUAUCCUGUCUGAAUAUGGGGGGACCAUCCUCCAAGGCUAAAUACUCCUGACUGACCGAUAGUGAACCAGUACCGUGAGGGAAAGGCGAAAAGAACCCCGGCGAGGGGAGUGAAAAAGAACCUGAAACCGUGUACGUACAAGCAGUGGGAGCACCUUCGGGUGUGACUGCGUACCUUUUGUAUAAUGGGUCAGCGACUUAUAUUCUGUAGCAAGGUUAACCGUAUAGGGGAGCCGCAGGGAAACCGAGUCUUAACUGGGCGUUAAGUUGCAGGGUAUAGACCCGAAACCCGGUGAUCUAGCCAUGGGCAGGUUGAAGGUUGGGUAACACUAACUGGAGGACCGAACCGACUAAUGUUGAAAAAUUAGCGGAUGACUUGUGGCUGGGGGUGAAAGGCCAAUCAAACCGGGAGAUAGCUGGUUCUCCCCGAAAGCUAUUUAGGUAGCGCCUCGUGAACUCAUCUUCGGGGGUAGAGCACUGUUUCGGCUAGGGGGUCAUCCCGACUUACCAACCCGAUGCAAACUACGAAUACCGAAGAAUGUUAUCACGGGAGACACACGGCGGGUGCUAACGUCCGUCGUGAAGAGGGAAACAACCCAGACCGCCAGCUAAGGUCCCAAAGUCAUGGUUAAGUGGGAAACGAUGUGGGAAGGCACAGACAGCCAGGAUGUUGGCUUAGAAGCAGCCAUCAUUUAAAGAAAGCGUAAUAGCUCACUGGUCGAGUCGGCCUGCGCGGAAGAUGUAACGGGGCUAAACCAUGCACCGAAGCUGCGGCAGCGACACUAUGUGUUGUUGGGUAGGGGAGCGUUCUGUAAGCCUGCGAAGGUGUGCUGUGAGGCAUGCUGGAGGUAUCAGAAGUGCGAAUGCUGACAUAAGUAACGAUAAAGCGGGUGAAAAGCCCGCUCGCCGGAAGACCAAGGGUUCCUGUCCAACGUUAAUCGGGGCAGGGUGAGUCGACCCCUAAGGCGAGGCCGAAAGGCGUAGUCGAUGGGAAACAGGUUAAUAUUCCUGUACUUGGUGUUACUGCGAAGGGGGGACGGAGAAGGCUAUGUUAGCCGGGCGACGGUUGUCCCGGUUUAAGCAUGUAGGCUGAUUGUCCAGGCAAAUCCGGAUAAUCAAGGCUGAGGUGUGAUGACGAGGCACUACGGUGCUGAAGUAACAAAUGCCCUGCUUCCAGGAAAAGCCUCUAAGCAUCAGGUAACAUCAAAUCGUACCCCAAACCGACACAGGUGGUCAGGUAGAGAAUACCAAGGCGCUUGAGAGAACUCGGGUGAAGGAACUAGGCAAAAUGGUGCCGUAACUUCGGGAGAAGGCACGCUGGUGUGUAGGUGAAGUCCCUGCGGAUGGAGCUGAGACCAGUCGAAGAUACCAGCUGGCUGCAACUGUUUAUUAAAAACACAGCACUGUGCAAACACGAAAGUGGACGUAUACGGUGUGACGCCUGCCCGGUGCCGGAAGGUUAAUUGAUGGGGUUAUCCGUAAGGAGAAGCUCUUGAUCGAAGCCCCGGUAAACGGCGGCCGUAACUAUAACGGUCCUAAGGUAGCGAAAUUCCUUGUCGGGUAAGUUCCGACCUGCACGAAUGGCGUAAUGAUGGCCAGGCUGUCUCCACCCGAGACUCAGUGAAAUUGAACUCGCUGUGAAGAUGCAGUGUACCCGCGGCAAGACGGAAAGACCCCGUGAACCUUUACUAUAGCUUGACACUGAACAUUGAGCCUUGAUGUGUAGGAUAGGUGGGAGGCUUUGAAGCGUGGACGCCAGUCUGCGUGGAGCCAACCUUGAAAUACCACCCUUUAAUGUUUGAUGUUCUAACGUUGGCCCCUGACCGGGGUUGCGGACAGUGUCUGGUGGGUAGUUUGACUGGGGCGGUCUCCUCCCAAAGCGUAACGGAGGAGCACGAAGGUUAGCUAAUCCUGGUCGGACAUCAGGAGGUUAGAACAUCAAACAU
Molecule: ribosomal RNA, 2331 nt
Filed under: Klebsiella pneumoniae CHS 61
Lineage: Bacteria; Pseudomonadati; Pseudomonadota; Gammaproteobacteria; Enterobacterales; Enterobacteriaceae
Description: bacterial LSU rRNA
Rfam family: Bacterial large subunit ribosomal RNA
Source: RNAcentral